This 460-nucleotide ribosomal RNA is filed under the name uncultured bacterium. Its description in RNAcentral is "partial 16S ribosomal RNA". It matches the Rfam family "Bacterial small subunit ribosomal RNA", at positions 338 to 795 of the family's 1533-position model. The record is from RNAcentral.
CCUACGGGUGGCAGCAGUGAGGAAUAUUGGUCAAUGGACGGGAGCCUGAACCAGCCAAGUCGCGUGAGGGAAGACGGUCCUAUGGAUUGUAAACCUCUUUAGGAGGGGAGCAAUGCCGGGCACGUGUGCCCGGAGGGAGAUUCCCCGCAGAAUAAGCAUCGGCUAACUCCGGUCCAGCAGCCGCGGUAAUACGGAGGAUGCGAGCGUUAUCAGUAUGUAUUGGGUUUAAAGGGUGCGUAGGCGGAUUUUUCAGUCAGCGGUAAAAUGUCCGGGCUAGAGCCGGGCCGGCCGUUGAAAGUGGGGAUCUUGAGUGGGCGAGAAGUAUGCGGAAUGCGUGGUGUAGCGGUGAAAUGCAUAGAUAUCACGCAGAACUCCGAUUGCGAAGGCAGCAUACCGGCGCCCGACUGACGCUGAGGCACGAAAGCGUGGGGAUCGAACAGGAGUAGAUACCCCGGUAGUC